GAGUUUGAUCGUGGCUCAGAACGAACGCUGGCGGCAGGCUUAACACAUGCAAGUCGAACGCGUGUAGCAAUACACGAGUGGCGCACGGGUGAGUAACGCGUGGAUAUCUGCCUUUUGGUUCGGAAUAACCCCGGGAACUGGGCUAAUACCGGAUGGUUCCUUCGGGAUAAAGAUUUAUCGCCAAAAGAUGAGUCCGCGUACGAUUAGCUAGUUGGUGAGGUAAUGGCUCACCAAGGCGACGAUCGUUAGCUGGUCUGAGAGGAUGACCAGCCUCACUGGGACUGAGACACGGCCCAGACUCCUACGGGAGGCAGCAGUGGGGAAUAUUGGACAAUGGGCGCAAGCCUGAUCCAGCCAUGCCGCGUGGGUGAUGAAGGCCCUAGGGUUGUAAAGCCUUUCAGCGGGGAAGAUAAUGACGGUACCCGCAGAAGAAGCCCCGGCUAACUUCGUGCCAGCC
RNAcentral lists this ribosomal RNA (457 nucleotides) under uncultured Alphaproteobacteria bacterium. Its description in RNAcentral is "bacterial SSU rRNA". It matches the Rfam family "Bacterial small subunit ribosomal RNA", at positions 9 to 513 of the family's 1533-position model. Lineage: Bacteria; Pseudomonadati; Pseudomonadota; Alphaproteobacteria. The record is from RNAcentral.